Non-coding RNA from Xyrichtys novacula (pearly razorfish), 1754 nucleotides. The record is from the annotation of a GenBank genome assembly. NCBI's taxonomy places the organism in Eukaryota, Metazoa, Chordata, Actinopteri, Labriformes, Labridae.
UAAUUAUUUUUUUUCACUUCAUCCUCAUUCAUACUGGAAAGCCAAUGGAACUUUUUUUUUCUCUCUGUAUUUACCACUGGAACAUCUUGGAAUUGAUUGAUCAGAGUUUGUUCGACUAAAUCUCAUCAGAAUUUUUAAGAUUUUAUCCAAAAAUUAACCUGGCGUGACUCAAAAACAGAAGUAAACAAAGACCUGUACCAUUUUACAAACAGCUCCUGAACUUCUUCUCGGCAGUAAACAGAUAGCUGACAAACUAAUGAAGCAUUUUGCAGCAGAAUAAAUAGAUGGAUACAUUUAUCAAAAUAUCACAAAGGAGAGUUUAACCCAAGAUACUGUCAUAUCAAUGAUUUACCAGUCAGAGGCGUGAUUCCAGUGUUGCUCAUUCUACUAGAAUUGCAAAUUAAGAGCUGUUUGCGAACACAUGAUGCUCAUGCAUUUAGAGUCUCUUGCACCAUCCCUGGAGCCGUUUUUAAAAAUCAAUUAUUGCACCAAGGGCAGAUAUCUUCAUUAAAUGCUGUCUCCUCUCCCUUUUCGUUUAAAAAAUUCAACUCAAAUGAAAGGAGAGCGCGGCGCAUUUUAUCAUUUAGCUCCAGCAUCAGUUUCGUACUCAAGAGCGAGUCAUUUCUAGUAAAAAUUAGACUCCUGCGCCUCUCAGAUCAGGAUAAUGAUCAUCUUUUUAAGUGUCUCCCUGAAACCGAGCUACACUGAAAUCCAGUCGCUGAGUGGCAGAACAAACAGCCACUUCUAUCCUCUACAACCUGGUGCUGCAGCAGACAGAUGUGCUGAUAUGCCAUCUAUAGCCGCAGGCCGUUUCUGACUUCUAAAGGCUUCCGCUGUCAAAGUGGGGCGCCUGGGAGCGCAUGACACAAAAGUUAAAUGAAGGUUAAAUGGAAGCACUUCAAAGUGGGAGAUCUCCACAGAAAAAUAACGGAGGAAAGGUUAAUGUGUGUCUUGUUGAGACACCAGAGCAGCUUGUAGCUUUUGGGCAUGACGGUUUGAGGUCCAGUUCGGGUCAGAACGCCCGUGGGCCGCCGUUUAUUGGUUUCAUUCAUGCUAUCAAUGAGCGCAGCACCGUUAAAGGCUUUAAACUGAUGCUUGGAGAGCAGUUUAACUCUGAGGUAGAUGUCCUUGCUACAUAUACUGUAAUACUGCAGGCAGAAAAUAGCUAUUUGGAUAUCAGGGAGUGGAAAUCUUCCUCUCCUUGUGUCUUAGAUUCAUGCCAGUGGUUCCAGUUUUGAAGUAUUUGAUUGUCAAGGAAAUAUGAACGUUUGAAAUCUGACGAUGGGGGCUGCCAUAUUAAAGGGAUAUUCCGGCGUAAAAUUAUUUUAUCAGUCAAACACACUGUAACACCCCCUCAAGAGAUGAAUGUUGCCAACCACUUGCUUCUCUAGUUAUACCGACUUUAGUAACGACCGCAGGAUAGCAAUACACAGCGGUCUGAGGAGACAUAAACAAACCUCAACCAAAACGCCACUCUAUAGCCACAAAUAAUGCUCAGAACAGCACCUAACUUCAUCAACAGUACAUAUAGAGUCCUAGCCAUAGUACUAGCCUCCAAACAUCUUUUUAACUUUGCCUGAUUUCUUUAGCAAAGAGACUAAACACAACUCACCCACUCUCUUCCAGCAGCCGUUUGUUUGUAGUGAGACUUUGGCUUAGUCCAUCAUUGACUGCAGCAGGGUGACACAGCUCAAGGAAGAACAUUUAUGAUCAUUUCUUUAUCAUUUCCUUGAAGUAAUAAUCGUCAUAUUAAU